RNAcentral lists this ribosomal RNA (491 nucleotides) under uncultured bacterium. RNAcentral describes it as "partial 16S ribosomal RNA". It matches the Rfam family "Bacterial small subunit ribosomal RNA", at positions 29 to 507 of the family's 1533-position model. The record is from RNAcentral.
AGUGAACGCUGGCGGUAGGCCUAACACAUGCAAGUCGAACGGCAGCAAAGUAAGAGCUUGCUCUUACGGGUGGCGAGUGGCGGACGGGUGAGGAAUACAUCGGAAUCUACUUUUUCGUGGGGGAUAACGUAGGGAAACUUACGCUAAUACCGCAUACGACCUACGGGUGAAAGCAGGGGAUCUUCGGACCUUGCGCGAUUGAAUGAGCCGAUGUCGGAUUAGCUAGUUGGCGGGGUAAAGGCCACCAAGGCGACGAUCCGUAGCUGGUCUGAGAGGAUGAUCAGCCACACUGGAACUGAGACACGGUCCAGACUCCUACGGGAGGCAGCAGUGGGGAAUAUUGGACAAUGGGCGCAAGCCUGAUCCAGCCAUACCGCGUGGGUGAAGAAGGCCUUCGGGUUGUAAAGCCCUUUUGUUGGGAAAGAAAAGCAGCAGGUUAAUACCCCGCUGUUCUGACGGUACCCAAAGAACAAGCACCGGCUAACUUCGUG